GAAGGACAGCGGAGCUCACACAGCAGACUGCAGUGCUUCUGAGCGUUUCUGGACCAGAAGCUCUCCUCACAGAGAGAGGGACACAGCAGACAGCAGGCGCCAUGGAGCCGCCGGCAGGCCCUGCAAGCACGAGGCAUGUCCCCUGGAACAGGCUCGUCCUGGCAGUCUUACUGUUAACUUUCUGGACCCCGCCCACCACUGCCCAGCUCACUAUUGAAACGGUGCCCCCCCCUUGCUGCAGAAGGGUCGGAUGUUCUUCUCCUUGCCCACAACGUGACAGAGAAUCCUCUAGGCUAUGCCUGGCACAGAGGAGAAAGGGUAGAGAACACCCAGCUAAUUGCAUCAUUUAGGGUAGCCACUAAUUUCACUACCAAAGGGCCUGCACACAGCGGACGGGAGACACUUUACCCCAACGGAACCCUGCUGAUCCAGAGCGUCACCCAGAAAGACAGAAGUUCCUACACCCUGCUCGUUACAAAGGAUGAUUUAGAGACAGAAAGACAAACUGGACACCUCCAUGUACUCCCGGUGCUACCCACACCCGUCAUCACCAGCAACAACUCCAACCCCUGGGAGCACAAGGACACUGUGGUGUUAACAUGUGGACCUGAGACCCAGAACACCUCCUACACGUGGUGGAUCAGCAAUCAGAGCCUCCCCAAGAGCACCAGGCUGGAACUGUCCGAGGACAAGAGGACUCUCACUGUGUUCAGUGUCACAAGGAAAGAGAAAGGACCCUAUGUGUGUGAAGCCCGGAACCCAGUGGGCAUCAGCCGCAGUGACCCAUUCACCCUGGAUGUCCUCUACCCAGUGGCACGGCCCUCCCUCCAAGCCAGCAACACCACAGUCCCAGAACAUGAGGGCCCCGUGGUCCUGACCUGCCUCACAGAUGAGACUGGGGUCUCCAUACGCUGGCUCUUCAAAGGCCAGAGUCUCCUCCUCGCAGACAGGAUGACACUGUCCUCAGACAACAGCACCCUCACCAUAGACCCCAUCAGCAGAGAGGAUGCCGGGGGUUAUCAGUGUGAGGUCUCCAACAGGGGCAACGCCAGCAAGAGUGGCCCCCUCAGGCUGAGUGUGACCUGGCAAGAAAACGCUCGAGCCCUCGAUGUGGGGGCCAUUACUGGCAUCGUGAUUGGGGUCCUGCUCGUCCUGACGCCGCUGGCUGUCCUGGGGUGUUUCAUUUUCCUUCACAGAGGGAACUGGCCCCCAGCGUCCACCUCAGGACGUGGUCCCUCUGGCAGCUCUGUCUCCCAGGCCUCCCUACCUGAUGCCAGGCCACCAGCUCCCAUCUACCAGGAAUUACUACGACCGGACACAGACGUUUACUGUAAUAUCAGCCACAAAGCAGAUGUGGGUCCUUAGUUCCUCCAGACACGUCUCCUUACGGACUGUGGGAAAGAGCUUACCUGAGACCCAAGACCCGAGUGAGGUCAUGAGGAAGAGCCUGAGGUGGAGAACCAGCUCUGAGACCUGAGGCUAUUCGGGAACCUGGGCCCAGGCUCAGGGUCCUCCUGGAUUCCUGGAGACACUGACAGGCUGCCCUGAAGCCUGGAUGGACCAGAACUCAGGCUGCGAUUCCCACAGUGGGGGGAGGUUUCAACAGGCAAGUGACUGGGCCUCUGACCCACUGUGGACCACCAGAGAGAUCUGAAUCAAGAGCACUUUCCUUCCCCUGGUUGCAAAACAUACUGCCCUUGGGUCUUGUCCAGCAAGAAAUUCACCGGAAUCUCUGCUCCAGUCUGUCCAUGGUUCCUCGGGGAAAGUAUUAGCUCUAGUUACCUGACCUCCCCAUCUAUUUCCUGGGGGAAAGGAAGGGGAAGAUUGUGAGAAUGGAGGGAGGGGGCAUGCUAACAGGCAAGGAAGGUCACCAGACCCUUGGCAGCCACAUGGGCACUCGGCAGUCCUCACACUGCCCUGGGGUCCCAGACACCUGCCAGUGCUUGCUCACUUGGCAUGGAGUCUCUGGAGCACAGGAAAUGGGACCAUCUGAGACACACUAGAACACGAGUCAGGAAGGACGAGUCGUGGGUGAGACAACUUUUAUGGGUGAGGCCCCUUUGCAGCCUCUUGGUGUCCUGAGCCCUCUGGCCCUGUUCACCAGGCCCUGCUGGCCCCAACUGGUGCUGCCUCAUAUGAGUUUUUGUUGUUCAGUUGCUAAGUUGUGUCUGAGUCUUUGGGACCCCAUGGACUGCAGCACACCAGGCUUCCCUGUCCUUCACUAUCCCCCGGAGUUUGCUUGAACUAAUCUCCAGUGAGUCAGCGAUGGGACAGGAACUUUUGUCUGUCCCCAGAUCUAGGAUCCAGAAUGCCUUCUCUCUCCAUGGGUUUCUGUUGUUUCCCUAAGGGCCUAAGCCCUGAGGACAUUGUUCCCUCUGGGGGAACCAAGAGGAGCAAUCAGAGUCACCAAAGUAAGAGGGACCCAGAAGCCAUGCUCUGAGCAAGGUCCUCCCAGGAACUUCCUGUGACCUCUAUCCACUUCCUGCUGGUUUCCAGUUUGCUUUUCGAUGCAGAUCGUGAGCCUGCUCCCAACACACACACACGUGAGCCUCAGGGCAAAGGUGCAGGCUCUACCUAAUACUCAACCUGGCUACCACGGCAAAGGGCUCACCUGUCUCCUCCUCAAAGUGUCUCAAGGGCCUUCCCACCCGGAUCUCACCUGCAGCUCCCGCCACACACCUGGGCUAGCAGGUCUCAGUCUCUCCUGAGGUCCCUGGGAUAGGUCUGUUCUCAUAUAGUUCCGCUCGGAUCGCAUGCCCAUGCUCACACAAACACAGCAAGUGUGUGCCCUAGGGCACAGAGCCCACAGUUGACAAGCAUGCUCUGCCAGUGGCCAAGUAUCAUCUGUGCUGAGAUGAGAUGAGAGGUAAGAGAAACCACCUGCAAAGCUUCCGAUCAUGAUUUAGGUCUAAAUUACUUCUUAUCCCCCCAGGCGCAGUCUUGGAUGAGACAAGGUGACACUUUUUGGUGUUCCUUAUUGUUCUGUAACAAAUGACCACAAAUGUACGGGCACAAACCACAGUGUCAAGUUCUUUCUGGAUUCUACAGACAGUUCAUUUCUUUGCCUUUCCAAGCUGUGAGAGGCUGCCUGCUUUCCUGGGUUUGUGGCCCUUUCCUCCAUCUUCAAAGCCAGCAGUGGAACAUCUUAAAGCUCCCCAAGCUCACCUUCCAUCAUCCCAUCUCCUCUGGCUCUGCCUCUCCUGCCUUGGAACAUUGUGAACGUAUUGGACUCAGCCCAAAACAUAGCCCACCAUAAUCUCCAAGUCACCCCACCAUAUCUCCCAGUCACGUGAUCUGAAUUUCAUCUGUAGGUUUCCUUAAUCAUGGGGCACAUUUCUCGGAUUGUGGCUUGAAGUUGUGGACAUCUCUUAGGGUUCUGUGCUCUGCCUACCACUCCUCUCAAGGCCGUGGGCAUCAUCUUCCCUCACUGCAGUCUGCUCUGGGGAGCUUGGACUUUGUCAUGCCGAUGUGGGGUCAAGACCUGCCACGAUGUCCACAGCAAUCUCACUGGCUCUGAGCCCUGGAGAUCGAGGCCAGUCCACACUCCCUGCAGCUCUCCCCACCUCUUCUUUCUGGUGAAGUGAAACUUGCUCUGUCUGUCCAACUCUUUGCAAGCCCAUGGACUGUAACCCUCCAGGCACAUCUGCCAUGGGAUUCUCCAGGCAAGAAUACUGGAGUGGAUAACCAUUGCCAUCUCUGUAGGUUCAUCAAACUCAGGUCUCCCGCAUAGCAGGAAGAUUCUGUACUGUCUGAGCCACCAUGGAAGCCUCUUCUUUUCUAGCAAUGCCCGAUUUUUCAGAAUGAAAAGCAGAUGUGACUCAAAGACCACAACUCCCAAGUCUCCAGGUGGCCUGUGUUCAUCAGCACCAUGGACAGUGUCUCUGCUGUGCUCAGCCCCCAUCAACGGGAAGGGAUGGCUGGAUAUCCUGCCCAUUUCUCCUCCAUGACAAAGAUGAACAUAGUAGAAUGUGUUCAGGGAUAACCCGCUUUGCUCUAGUUUAUGAAUCGGGAGCACUUUCUCCUGUGUGUGUAUUAGUUGUAGCUACAGCCAUGAUAACUCCCAGGUGAAUGAUCCUGCACCCGGAGGGUGUCCUCAAGGAGGCUGAGAACUAACUUUGUCCUCUCAGAGUAUCUCCCUGCCGCUGAGUGUCAGAUAACCAGCUUGUCUACAACUUGGAGGGAACGUUUCAUGAUUGAGUCCUGACCUUCGGUACCUGACCUUGGAGACAGCCAUCACCUAGCCUGGAGGCCCCCUGAGCACAGCCUCCUGUUCCCUCAUUCUCCAAAUGAUCCCCCCUCCCCCAGGGAGCAAGGCUGAGCAGAACACCUGGCCUACCCUCCCAGCUCCUCCAGUCUGAGCUUCAAGCCUGUGUGAGAGCUUUUGCCAUCUCUCCAUGCUUCCAACAGAGCAAGGGUCCUGCUGAGGAGCAAGUGGGGCCUGAAGACCAGUCUCCAGGGUACAAUUCAUCACCUGAGGGCUCCUCCGUCUGCCUGUGAACCCCAGGGAAGAGAAGGAACUAGGGCUCCACAGUCACCCCACACUUCCUCUUCUCCAUAAAUGUACCAUUGACAGGGGUAACUCUGACACGCAAACCCAGCACUAUACUUCCCAAGGGCAUGGGUCUAACCCAUCCAGCAUCCCUAACAGUCAUGCAAAAUGCUCGAGAUACCCAGUAUAAUGGUCACCGGGUUACCAGGGGCCUCUCUAUCUUCCAUGGGGACAGACUCUGCAGGACUCACCCGGGCUCAUGUGCACCACCUGUGGAACCAUGGUGUUUAAAUGGACCAGCAGAGGGAGCUACUGAAGGUAUCCCAGGGGUCCUGGCAUCUGGCCAACCACAGUGGCACAGCCACAGGACUUAGUGAAAAGAUGAAGAAAAGGAUGGGUAGGACAUAAAGGAGGGAUGGGAUGUGGCAGAGAGAUGGACCUAUGGACACAGGUGCUAUCUCCUCACAGAAUUUUUCCGUAAAGGGUGAGGAUGUUGGAAAUGAACAUUUUCCUAUACUCCCCAUGCAGAUGCAGUUUAGGGGAUACAGUGGCACUCAGUGUGCACACAAGUUGACCAGGACUCCAGUUCUAAGAGGAUCCCUGAGCUGGGAGCUCGGACAUGGAAGGAUUCACCUGUCCUGCUUCUGCUGAGUCCACUGGCCAGCUCCAGGCCUGGUGCAGGGAGCUGCAUACCUGUGUGUCGAAUGAAUGAGCCCCUGGAUCACACUCCACGGGGGCCGAGAUUUGUGGUGAGGAUGUUCACUGCAGAGCAGAUGGUCAGUGUGAAAGGCAGGGUGUUCGCUAGUGGCUGUUCCAGACUGAAAACAAAUUUGCAGUGAAGUCACCCCAGUGGCAGAGCAGGUCCUCAGCCUGUGGAAAAUCAAUGUGUCAAUGGUGUUCUGGAUGUUUGAGAAAGAAGGAGAUGAAAAGAAGACCUGACAACUUUGGGAAUAACAUUUAAUUCUGAACUACUCUUAGCAAAUAUUUUAUUUAUUUUUUUAUUUCUGGCUGCACUGGGUCUUCAUUGUUUUCCACCAGUUUUCUCUAGUGCGGUGAGCAGGGGCUAGUCUUCGUUGCGAUACACCGGCUUCUCAUUGAGGCAGCUUCUCUACUCCCGAGCAGGGGCUCUCGGCAAGCAGACUUCAGUCAUUGCAGCUCUUGGGCUCUAGAGCACACACUCAGCAGUUCUGAUGUAUGGCCUUAGUUGCUCAGAAGCAUGUGAAAUCCUCCUGACCAGGGAUCAAACCCAUGUCCCGCGCUUUGGCAGAUGGAUUCGUAUCCACUGAGCCAGCAGGAAAGUCAUCUAAACAAUGCCUAACUUGUAGAUAGACACUGGUUCAUCAUGGCCGCCCCACACACGAGGUUUCCAUAUUUGACUAUGGGUAAAUAAACAAGCGAUGUA
Molecule: long non-coding RNA, 5891 nt
Organism: Bubalus bubalis (water buffalo)
Lineage: Eukaryota; Metazoa; Chordata; Mammalia; Artiodactyla; Bovidae
Product: carcinoembryonic antigen-related cell adhesion molecule 3
Exons: 9
Source: RefSeq, a predicted model, not a curated record